Molecule: long non-coding RNA, 1218 nt
Organism: Parus major (Great Tit)
Lineage: Eukaryota; Metazoa; Chordata; Aves; Passeriformes; Paridae
Exons: 2
Source: RefSeq, a predicted model, not a curated record
CCUGGUUGGGAGAGAUAGCACCCAUGGGUGCUCCAGGGGCCAGGGCUCUCCGGGAGCUCCAGGCAGAGGGAGCAGCUCCUGGGUUGGGCUGUUCCAGCUGGGAGCUUUAUCCUGUGUCACAGGAAGCAAGGCAUCAUCUCCCAGGUAAUUUCCCAGGUCCCCAUGCUGGGUAUCUCACUGAUAACAGCUCCCAGGAUGCUUAUCAGCAGAGCACCAACAUUCCUGUGCCCACCUGAACUGCUGUGAGAACUUCUCCCUCUGCUAAACACUGGAGAACAAUUGCCAUUUGAGGGGGGAUAAUUGGAGUGAUCCAAAACCAUUUAACAAUUGGAAUAUCAUUCUGCUCCGUGGCUUUUUAUUUUUUCCUGUUCCAGCUACAAUGUCAUUCACUAAUGAAUGCAGCAUGGGUUGGGAUUAGGUUUAAAGCAGCAUUUUCCUGUUGCUGUUCCCUGCAUGUUGGUCGCACCCUUAAUGAUCUUCCUAGGAAAUAUUUACUUUGAGGGGUUUGCUUCUAAGUCCUUCAAGUGAUCAAAACCAGGCAAGGCAUGGCUUACUCUCCUAUGACUUCAGUUUUUCCUGGAAAGAAACGGGAACAAAAAAAAAUUCCUACUUCCAAAAUUAAUGCAAAUCAGCUUGAAAAUCAUCUUGUCCCAAUAAAUGAAUGCUCCAUUCUUUCUCAGGCAGGCUAAUAUUGGCUUUUAAGGGAAGAGAAACUCCAGGAGGAAUGAGCACUCAUUGGCAGGAUAGGCCUUCUGUGAGUGGCCCCUGUGAGAAAUCCCAGCCAGGGCUGCCAGGAUCGCUCUGGAGCUGAAGUUUGGGAAGAAGUUUGGGGAAAUCAGCAGCCCAGUGGCUCCUGACCAGGAGACUGCCACGUCCAGUCCUUCCUUGGACACCUCCAGCACCCCCCUUGCAAUGCCUGGCCACCCUUUCCCUGGAGAAAUUCCUCCUGAUGUUCCAGAGGAUGCUGCAUUGAGCCUUUCGAGAGAUGCCUCUGCUCUUUGCAAUAUAUUUGCGGUUUAAAUUGUCAAUAAACCCACAGGACAUAAUUACACCCCCAAAUUCCCCAGACUUGAAAGCCUGACCGUCCCUCCCUUGUUCUCCACGAGCUGUAACUCAAUGCAAACCCCUCUGUCUCUCUCCAUUUUCCAGUUCUUUCAUUCAUUCCUGCUGAGUAAUUAAAAAUGGCUUCUAAAUAAACAGCGGGGAUGAUUUCCGAAA